This 492-nucleotide ribosomal RNA is filed under the name uncultured bacterium. Its description in RNAcentral is "partial 16S ribosomal RNA". It matches the Rfam family "Bacterial small subunit ribosomal RNA", at positions 30 to 507 of the family's 1533-position model. The record is from RNAcentral.
AUUGAACGCUGGCGGUAGGCCUAACACAUGCAAGUCGAACGGCAGCACAGUAAGAGCUUGCUCGUACGGGUGGCGAGUGGCGGACGGGUUAGGAAUACAUCGGAAUCUACUUUUUCGUGGGGGAGAACGUAGGGAAACUUACGCUAAUACCGCAUACGACCUACGGGUGAAAGCAGGGGAUCUUCGGACCUUGCGCGAUUGAAUGAGCCGAUGUCGGAUUAGCUAGUUGGCGGGGUAAAGGCCCACCAAGGCGACGAUCCGUAGCUGGUCUGAGAGGAUGAUCAGCCACACUGGAACUGAGACACGGUCCAGACUCCUACGGGAGGCAGCAGUGGGGAAUAUUGGACAAAGGGCGCAAGCCUGAUCCAGCCAUACCGCGUGGGUGAAGAAGGCCUUCGGGUUGUAAAGCCCUUUUGUUGGGAAAGAAAAGCAGCAGGUUAAUACCCCGCUGUUCUGACGGUACCCAAAGAAUAAGCACCGGCUAACUUCGUG